This 1401-nucleotide ribosomal RNA is filed under the name metagenome. RNAcentral describes it as "bacterial SSU rRNA". It matches the Rfam family "Archaeal small subunit ribosomal RNA". The record is from RNAcentral.
UCCAGUUUAUCCUGCUGGAGGCUGCGGCUAUUUGGUUUGCUCUUAGGCAUGCAAGUUUCCCGAAAGGAAGCGCACGGCUCAGUAACACGUAGCUAACCUACCCUUAAGUCAUGGAUACCCUCGGGAAACUGAGGCUAAACCACGAUAAGAGAUUUUUUCUGGAAUGAAUUAUCUCUCAAACUCGCGCUUAAGGAUGGGGCUGCGGCUGAUUAGGUUGUUGGCAGUGUAAUGGACUACCAAGCCAGAGAUCAGUAAGGGCUCUUAGCGGAGGUGCCCUGAGAAGGAAUCUGAGACACUAUUCCUAGCCCUACGGAGUGCAGCAGCCGGGGAUCUUUUGCAAUGUACGAAAGUAUGACAAAGCGAACCAAAGUGUUUUUCCAUUUGGAAAAACUUUUGCUUAAUGUAAAAAGUUAGGCGAAUAAGGACUGGGCAAGACCGGUGCCAGCCGCCGCGGUAAUACCGGCAGUCCAAGUCGUGCCAAAUUUAUUGGGUCUAAAACAUCCGUAGCUCGUUGUAUAAGUCUCUUGUGAAAUCUUGUAUCUUAAGUACAAGGCGUGCAAGAGAUACUGUAUAGCUUGAGGCCAGGAGACGCAAGAAGUACUGUCGAGGUAGUGGUAAAAUACGUUAAUCUCGACUGGACUAACAAUGGCGAAGGCAUCUUGCGAGAAUGGUUCUGACAGUGAGGGAUGAAGGCUAGGGUCGCAAAACGGAUUAGAUACCCGUGUAGUCCUAGCAGUAAACACUGCACACUAAACAUUGGUUUCUCCUCGAGAGAAAUCAGUGCUGUAGGGAAGCCGAAGAGUGUGCUACCUGGGAAGUAUAGUCGCAGGACCGAAACUUAAAGGAAUUGGCGGGGGGAUACUACAACUGGUGACGCGUGCGGUUCAAUUAGAUUCUACACCCUGAACCUCACCAGGAGCGACAGCAGAAUGAAGGUCAGUCUGAAGGGCUUACCUGACACGCUGAGAGGAGGUGCAUGGCCGACGUCAGCCUGUGUUGUGAAAUGCUCUGUUAAAUCAGAUAACAGGCGAGACCCGUGUGUAUAGUUGCUACGUUAAGGGCACACUAUACAGACUGCCUUGGCAACAAGGAGGAAGGUGCGGGCUACGUUAGGUGAGUACGCCCCGAAUCCCCUGGGCAACACGCGCGCGGCAAUGCUGUAUGCAAUGAGAUGCAACUCCGAGAGGAGAAGCUAAUCCCAAAAUGUACAGCCUAGUUCAGAUCGAGGCUUGCAACUCAGCCUCGUGACGCUGGAAUCAGUAGUAAUCGUUUGUUAUCAGCGAACGGUGAAUAUGUCCCUGUUCCUUGCACACACCGCCCAUCAAACUAACCGAGUUAUGUUUAGUUGAAGCUGAUUGAAGAAACUGAGCAUGACAAGGUAAGUUAAGUUGACACAAGGUA